This 378-nucleotide ribosomal RNA is filed under the name uncultured bacterium. RNAcentral describes it as "bacterial SSU rRNA". It matches the Rfam family "Bacterial small subunit ribosomal RNA", at positions 30 to 416 of the family's 1533-position model. The record is from RNAcentral.
CCUGAACGCUGGCGGCGUGGCUAAGACAUGCAAGUCGUACGGGGCCGCAAGGCCCAGUGGCGAACGGGUGAGUAAUGAAUCGCUAAUGUGCCCCGGACUCAGGGAUAGCCGCUCGAAAGGGCGGGUAAUACCUGAUGACAUAACCCUGUCGCAUGGCAGGGUUCUCAAAGGUCCGCCGGUCUGGGAGCAGGCGAUUUCGUAUCAGCUAGUUGGUGAGGUAACGGCUCACCAAGGCGACGACGCGUAGCCGGACUGAGAGGUUGGCCGGCCACAUUGGGGACUGAGACACUGCCCAGACUCCUACGGGGGGCUGCAGUAACGAAUCUUCCGCAAUGCACGAAAGUGUGACGGAGCGACGCCGCGUGUGGGACGAAGUCC